Long non-coding RNA from Lolium rigidum, 903 nucleotides. RefSeq lists it as uncharacterized. The record is from RefSeq and is a predicted model, not a curated record. NCBI's taxonomy places the organism in Eukaryota, Viridiplantae, Streptophyta, Magnoliopsida, Poales, Poaceae. The transcript has 3 exons.
GUGGAAGCUUGAGAGCAAAAAUCAUGUUAAGUGAGAUUAUUCUGUCACAUGUGUCAACAGGAACGAAUGGGUGUGAUGGGCAGAACACUUCAGCUCUGGUUGUAGGGAGGGUCUGAUAGAUUCAGCUUCUCGGUUAUAGAUGUCCAUUGGUGUUCCUCUAUCCAUUGGGUGUCCAUUGGUUGCAUAUAUACAACACGCAAAUUUUCAUUUCUUUGGUCAUGUUGCAAGAUUGCAACUCAUCUUUUUAUAGUCCGUCUCCUGUAUGGUCAGGUUUCACAUACAGUUCAUGGAGUUUUUGAUUCAUUUUUGCUCAAGUAAAAAGAUGCCCGUGGCUGCCGGCCACAUCGUAUGAGCUUCCGUUUGCAGUAACAAGCAUUGAUGAGGAUAGGUCUCUACUCUUCCCCAACUUAGAAGCUUCCGUUUUCAGUAUGUGGUUUCACAUGUGGUUCCAUGGCACUGAUAGGUAAAACCAAUUUUAUGUCCAAUACAAAUUGGCACAGAAGAACAUGAUGAUUAGGAGGGCGGAGUUACGCUUUCGAAUUUGAUAAUUUUAACUUGGCCAAUGCUUAAUUUUGGCCGUGGUUCACAUAGACUGGUAAGACUAAUGUCCCUUUUCAUUAAUAUUGUUGCUUUCUUUAUUUUAGUGUCAUCGUUUCUAUCUAAUAUUAUUAUUUUUAAAUCUUCAUCCUCACAUUUGUUUUAGCGACUUUGUAGAAGUACGAUAUCUUAGCUAGCUUUCCAAUCUUACUUUCGUUUUGACAUACAUAUUUCUUGCGCUGCGAAUUCACUUUGUAUUAUCUUUUAUUCAGAGUACAUAUUGAUAAAUACCCCCGGUUCUUUCCAUUGCACAGUAGAGAGCAACCUUUACAUCAAACAUUUGCACAAAUUUUCAAUUACAACUUU